UACGAAGGGGACUAGCGUUGUUCGGAAUUACUGGGCGUAAAGCGCACGUAGGCGGAUUUGUAAGUCAGGGGUGAAAUCCCGGGGCUCAACCUCGGAACUGCCUUUGAUACUGCAAAUCUCGAGUCCGAUAGAGGUGGGUGGAAUUCCUAGUGUAGAGGUGAAAUUCGUAGAUAUUAGGAAGAACACCGGUGGCGAAGGCGGCCCACUGGAUCGGUACUGACGCUGAGGUGCGGAAGCGUGGGGAGCAAACAGG
This 253-nucleotide ribosomal RNA is filed under the name uncultured bacterium. Its description in RNAcentral is "partial 16S ribosomal RNA". It matches the Rfam family "Bacterial small subunit ribosomal RNA", at positions 524 to 776 of the family's 1533-position model. The record is from RNAcentral.